GAAACGACUGCUAAGACUGGAUAGGAAGAUAAAAGGCAUCUUUUAUCUUUUAAAAGACCUAGUAAUAGGUAUGCUUUAGGAGGGGCUUGCGCCAUAUUAGUUAGUUGGUAGGGUAAUGGCCUACCAAGACGAUGAUGUGUAGCUGGACUGAGAGGUUGAACAGCCACAUUGGGACUGAGACACGGCCCAAACUCCUACGGGAGGCAGCAGUAGGGAAUUUUCGGCAAUGGAGGAAACUCUGACCGAGCAACGCCGCGUGAAUGACGAAGUACUUCGGUAUGUAAAGUUCUUUUAUCAAGGAAGAAAAGCAAAUGGCGAACCAUUUGUUUGCCGGUACUUGAUGAAUAAGCCCCGGCUAAUUAUGUGCCAGCAGCCGCGGUAAGACAUAAGGGGCAAGUGUUAUCCGGAAUUAUUGGGCGUAAAGGGUGCGUAGGCGGUCUAGUAAGUCAGUGGUGUAAUGGCAACGCUUAACGUUGUCCGGCUAUUGAAACUGCUAAACUUGAGUUAGAUAGAGGCGAGUGGAAUUCCAUGUGUAGCGGUAAAAUGCGUAAAUAUAUGGAGGAACACCAGAGGCGUAGGCGGCUCGCUGGGUCUUAACUGACGCUGAGGCACGAAAGCGUGGGGAGCAAACAGGAUUAGAUACCCUGGUAGUCCACGCCGUAAACGAUGAGUACUAAGUGUCGGGUUAAGCCGGUACUGAAGUUAACACAUUAAGUACUCCGCCUGAGUAGUACGUACGCAAGUAUGAAACUUAAAGGAAUUGACGGGACUCCGCACAAGCGGUGGAUCAUGUUGUUUAAUUCGAAGAUACCCGAAAAACCUUACCAGGUCUUGACAUGUUUUUGCAAAAUGAUAGUAAUAUCGUGGAGGUUACCAGAAACACAGGUGGUGCAUGGUUGUCGUCAGCUCGUGUCGUGAGAUGUUAGGUUAAGUCCUAAAACGAGCGAAACCCUUAUCGUUAGUUGCCAGCACGUUAUGGUGGGGACUUUAACGAGACUGCCAAUGAUAAAUUGGAGGAAGGUGAGGAUCACGUCAAAUCAGCAUGCCCCUUAUGACCUGGGCUACAAACGUGAUACAAUGGCUGUUACAAAGGGUAGCUGAAACGCAAGUUCUUGGCCAAUCCCCAAAAACAGUCCCAGUCCGGAUUGAAGUCUGCAACUCGACUUCAUGAAGUUGGAAUCGCUAGUAAUCGCGAAUCAGCAUGUCGCGGUGAAUACGUUCACGGGGUUUGUACACACCGCCCGUCAAA
This 1249-nucleotide ribosomal RNA is filed under the name Candidatus Phytoplasma citri. RNAcentral's name for it is "bacterial SSU rRNA". It matches the Rfam family "Bacterial small subunit ribosomal RNA", at positions 153 to 1401 of the family's 1533-position model. RNAcentral also lists the same sequence under 4 other names. The record is from RNAcentral. Lineage: Bacteria; Bacillati; Mycoplasmatota; Mollicutes; Acholeplasmatales; Acholeplasmataceae.